AUUGAACGCUGGCGGCAUGCUUUACACAUGCAAGUCGAACGGCAGCGCGGGCUUCGGCCUGGCGGCGAGUGGCGAACGGGUGAGUAAUGCAUCGGAACGUGCCCAGUAGUGGGGGAUAGCCCGGCGAAAGCCGGAUUAAUACCGCAUACGACCUGAGGGUGAAAGCGGGGGACCGAAAGGCCUCGCGCUAUUGGAGCGGCCGAUGUCGGAUUGGCUAGUUGGUGGGGUAAAGGCUUACCAAGGCGACGAUCCGUAGCUGGUCUGAGAGGACGACCAGCCACCCUGGGACUUAGACACGGCCCAGACUCCUACGGGAGGCAGCAGUGGGGAAUGUUGGACAAUGGGGGCAACCCUGAUCCAGCCAUGCCGCGUGCGGGAAGAAGGCCUUCGGGUUGUAAACCGCUUUUGUUCGGGAAGAAAUCCUCUGGGCUAAUACCCCGGGGGGAUGACGGUACCGGAAGAAUAAGCACCGGCUAACUACGUG
RNAcentral lists this ribosomal RNA (484 nucleotides) under uncultured bacterium. Its description in RNAcentral is "partial 16S ribosomal RNA". It matches the Rfam family "Bacterial small subunit ribosomal RNA", at positions 28 to 507 of the family's 1533-position model. The record is from RNAcentral.